GACGAACGCUGGCGGCGUGCUUAACACAUGCAAGUCGAACGAUGACGACCGAGCUUGCUCGGUCUGAUUAGUGGCGAACGGGUGAGUAACACGUGAGCAACCUGCCCUUCACUCUGGGAUAACCUCGGGAAAUCGGGGCUAAUACCGGAUAUGAGCUCCUGUCGCAUGGCGGGUGUUGGAAAGUUUUUCGGUGAAGGAUGGGCUCGCGGCCUAUCAGUUUGUUGGUGAGGUAGUGGCUCACCAAGGCGAUGACGGGUAGCCGGCCUGAGAGGGCGACCGGCCACACUGGGACUGAGACACGGCCCAGACUCCUACGGGAGGCAGCAGUGGGGAAUAUUGCACAAUGGGCGAAAGCUUGAUGCAGCGACGCCGCGUGAGGGAUGACGGCCUUCGGGUUGUAAACCUCUUUCAGCAGGGAAGAAGCGAAAGUGACGGUACCUGCAGAAGAAGCGCCGGCUAACUACGUG
Molecule: ribosomal RNA, 467 nt
Filed under: uncultured bacterium
Lineage: Bacteria
Description: partial 16S ribosomal RNA
Rfam family: Bacterial small subunit ribosomal RNA
Source: RNAcentral